UGCAGAUAAGCAAGGAGAUGAAGGGAGAGUCUCUAAGAGGUGAAAAAGAUAGCUUCCGAAGAAUCCCAAGGACUGGCUCCAGCCCUAUACAGAACAAGUAAAGACAAACCACACAACUCAAUUUUCUUUCAAUCUUUAUGUAUUCCAAAUGGUUUUUGCAUCUCUGUGAGUGUAUGAUUGACACCAAGAUUGUGUAUUUUUGUACCAGGAUUGAUCCCCUAACCGAUGUAAGAGGAAGUAGGAAACAACAUAUCACAGCAAGAGAACCAUAGAUUUCAUUUAUUUUUGUCUUGGAUCUAUUUUUUUUUUUUGGGUGGCAUAGCGUAUUUACACUUAUUUCUGGAUGCUGCAAUGUAAUCUUAUAAGCUUUGCUACUGUUAACAGCUCCUAGAGUGGGCUUAGACCUCUAUAAGUUCGUUUGUAGUGUUAUAUGAAAAGACUGUUUUAAUAGCAUUCUUUUAAGUGUAGAUCUAGCCAGAACGGCUUCAAAUAUGCUGCCAUCUUCAUUAAAAAGUAGAGAAAAAAGAACUGUGGCACAGAGAUGAGAAAAAUGCAGCUUGACUAGAUAUGAUAGAGUAAG
RNAcentral lists this long non-coding RNA (580 nucleotides) under Arabidopsis lyrata. Its description in RNAcentral is "long non-coding RNA (ALYR_LNC002864)". Lineage: Eukaryota; Viridiplantae; Streptophyta; Magnoliopsida; Brassicales; Brassicaceae. The record is from RNAcentral.